GACGAACGCUGGCGGCGUGCUUAACACAUGCAAGUCGAACGGAAAGGUCCUGCUCUUGCGCGGUGCUCGUGAGGCGCACGGGUGAGAAACACGUGAGUAACCUGCCCUUGUCUUUGGGAUAACUCCUGGAAACUGCGGCUCUUAUCGCAUAGGAGCUCCUGCUGCACGGUGGGGGUUGGUAAGUGUCGGCGGUGGGGGCUGGAUUCGCGGCUUAUCAGCUUGUUGGUGGGGUAGUGGCUGCCCAAGGCUUCGACGGGUAGCCGGCCUGAGAGGGGGACCGGGCUCAAUGGGACUACGAGAGGGACCAGAAGGCUAUCGGCGGCAGUAGGCGGGAAUCUUGCAGAAUGGGGCGAAGCCUGUGGCAGCAGCGUCCGGAGCGGGAUGACGGCCUUCGGGGUGAAAACAGCUUUCGACGGAGACGAAGCGGGAGUGACGGUAAUGGGUAAAGAAGCACCGGCUAACUACGUG
RNAcentral lists this ribosomal RNA (468 nucleotides) under uncultured bacterium. Its description in RNAcentral is "partial 16S ribosomal RNA". It matches the Rfam family "Bacterial small subunit ribosomal RNA", at positions 28 to 507 of the family's 1533-position model. The record is from RNAcentral.